RNAcentral lists this ribosomal RNA (498 nucleotides) under Apilactobacillus apinorum. RNAcentral describes it as "bacterial SSU rRNA". It matches the Rfam family "Bacterial small subunit ribosomal RNA", at positions 830 to 1329 of the family's 1533-position model. The record is from RNAcentral. Lineage: Bacteria; Bacillati; Bacillota; Bacilli; Lactobacillales; Lactobacillaceae.
UUUCCGCCCUUCAGUGCCGCAGCUAACGCAUUAAGUAUUCCGCCUGGGGAGUACGACCGCAAGGUUGAAACUCAAAGGAAUUGACGGGGGCCCGCACAAGUGGUGGAGCAUGUGGUUUAAUUCGAUGCUACGCGAAGAACCUUACCAGCUCUUGACAUCUUCUGCCAACCUAAGAGAUUAGGCGUUCCCUUCGGGGACAGAAUGACAGGUGGUGCAUGGUUGUCGUCAGCUCGUGUCGUGAGAUGUUGGGUUAAGUCCCGCAACGAGCGCAACCCUUAUUAUUAGUUGCCAGCAUUUAGUUGGGCACUCUAGUGAGACUGCCGGUGAUAAACCGGAGGAAGGUGGGGAUGACGUCAAAUCAUCAUGCCCCUUAUGAGCUGGGCUACACACGUGCUACAAUGGAUGGUACAACGAGUCGCGAAACCGCGAGGUCAAGCUAAUCUCUUAAAGCCAUUCUCAGUUCGGAUUGCAGGCUGCAACUCGCCUGCAUGAAGUUGG